RNAcentral lists this ribosomal RNA (1202 nucleotides) under Escherichia coli. RNAcentral's name for it is "bacterial SSU rRNA". It matches the Rfam family "Bacterial small subunit ribosomal RNA", at positions 8 to 1200 of the family's 1533-position model. The record is from RNAcentral. Lineage: Bacteria; Pseudomonadati; Pseudomonadota; Gammaproteobacteria; Enterobacterales; Enterobacteriaceae.
AGAGUUUGAUCAUGGCUCAGAUUGAACGCUGGCGGCAGGCCUAACACAUGCAAGUCGAACGGUAACAGAAAGCAGCUUGCUGCUUUGCUGACGAGUGGCGGACGGGUGAGUAAUGUCUGGGAAACUGCCUGAUGGAGGGGGAUAACUACUGGAAACGGUAGCUAAUACCGCAUAACGUCGCAAGACCAAAGAGGGGGACCUUCGGGCCUCUUGCCAUCGGAUGUGCCCAGAUGGGAUUAGCUUGUUGGUGGGGUAACGGCUCACCAAGGCGACGAUCCCUAGCUGGUCUGAGAGGAUGACCAGCCACACUGGAACUGAGACACGGUCCAGACUCCUACGGGAGGCAGCAGUGGGGAAUAUUGCACAAUGGGCGCAAGCCUGAUGCAGCCAUGCCGCGUGUAUGAAGAAGGCCUUCGGGUUGUAAAGUACUUUCAGCGGGGAGGAAGGGAGUAAAGUUAAUACCUUUGCUCAUUGACGUUACCCGCAGAAGAAGCACCGGCUAACUCCGUGCCAGCAGCCGCGGUAAUACGGAGGGUGCAAGCGUUAAUCGGAAUUACUGGGCGUAAAGCGCACGCAGGCGGUUUGUUAAGUCAGAUGUGAAAUCCCCGGGCUCAACCUGGGAACUGCAUCUGAUACUGGCAAGCUUGAGUCUCGUAGAGGGGGGUAGAAUUCCAGGUGUAGCGGUGAAAUGCGUAGAGAUCUGGAGGAAUACCGGUGGCAAAGGCGGCCCCCUGGACGAAGACUGACGCUCAGGUGCGAAAGCGUGGGGAGCAAACAGGAUUAGAUACCCUGGUAGUCCACGCCGUAAACGAUGUCGACUUGGAGGUUGUGCCCUUGAGGGGUGGCUUCCGGAGCUAACGCGUUAAGUCGACCGCCUGGGGAGUACGGCCGCAAGGUUAAAACUCAAAUGAAUUGACGGGGGCCCGCACAAGCGGUGGAGCAUGUGGUUUAAUUCGAUGCAACGCGAAGAACCUUACCUGGUCUUGACAUCCACAGAACUUUCCAGAGAUGGAUUGGUGCCUUCGGGAACUGUGAGACAGGUGCUGCAUGGCUGUCGUCAGCUCGUGUUGUGAAAUGUUGGGUUAAGUCCCGCAACGAGCGCAACCCUUAUCCUUUGUUGCCAGCGGUCCGGCCGGGAACUCAAAGGAGACUGCCAGUGAUAAACUGGAGGAAGGUGGGGAUGACGUCAAGUCAUCAUGGCC